This 253-nucleotide ribosomal RNA is filed under the name uncultured prokaryote. Its description in RNAcentral is "partial 16S ribosomal RNA". It matches the Rfam family "Bacterial small subunit ribosomal RNA", at positions 525 to 777 of the family's 1533-position model. The record is from RNAcentral.
ACGGAGGGUGCAAGCGUUAUCCGGAUUCACUGGGUUUAAAGGGUGCGUAGGAGGGCAGGUAAGUCAGUGGUGAAAUCUCCGAGCUUAACUUGGAAACUGCCGUUGAUACUAUCUGUCUUGAAUAUUGUGGAGGUGAGCGGAAUAUGUCAUGUAGCGGUGAAAUGCAUAGAUAUCAUCAAGAAUACCGAUUGCGAAGGCAGUUUACUAAGCUUUAACUGACACUGAGGCACGAAAGUGUGGGGAUCAAACAGGA